This 275-nucleotide ribosomal RNA is filed under the name uncultured bacterium. Its description in RNAcentral is "partial 16S ribosomal RNA". It matches the Rfam family "Bacterial small subunit ribosomal RNA", at positions 79 to 353 of the family's 1533-position model. The record is from RNAcentral.
CUAAGUUUGAUGGCGACCGGCGCACGGGUGAGUAACACGUAUCCAACCUGCCGAUGACUCGGGGAUAGCCUUUCGAAAGAAAGAUUAAUACCCGAUGGCAUAGUUCUUCCGCAUGGUAGAACUAUUAAAGAAUUUCGGUCAUCGAUGGGGAUGCGUUCCAUUAGGUUGUUGGCGGGGUAACGGCCCACCAAGCCUUCAAUGGAUAGGGGUUCUGAGAGGAAGGUCCCCCACAUUGGAACUGAGACACGGUCCAAACUCCUACGGGAGGCAGCAUG